Molecule: ribosomal RNA, 253 nt
Filed under: uncultured bacterium
Lineage: Bacteria
Description: partial 16S ribosomal RNA
Rfam family: Bacterial small subunit ribosomal RNA
Source: RNAcentral
UACGUAGGUGGCGAGCGUUGUCCGGAUUUACUGGGCGUAAAGGGGGCGUAGGCGGACUUUUAAGUGAGAUGUGAAAUACUCGGGCUCAACUUGAGUGCUGCAUUUCAAACUGGAAGUCUAGAGUGCAGGAGAGGAGAAUGGAAUUCCUAGUGUAGCGGUGAAAUGCGUAGAGAUUAGGAAGAACACCAGUGGCGAAGGCGAUUCUCUGGACUGUAACUGACGCUGAGGCUCGAAAGCGUGGGGAGCAAACAGG